CAACCGGCGCACGGGUGCGUAACGCGUAUGCAACCUACCUUUAACAGGGGGAUAACACUGAGAAAUUGGUACUAAUACCCCAUAAUAUCAUAGAAGGCAUCUUUUAUGGUUGAAAAUUCCGAUGGUUAGAGAUGGGCAUGCGUUGUAUUAGCUAGUUGGUGGGGUAACGGCUCACCAAGGCGACGAUACAUAGGGGGACUGAGAGGUUAACCCCCCACACUGGUACUGAGACACGGACCAG
RNAcentral lists this ribosomal RNA (241 nucleotides) under uncultured bacterium. Its description in RNAcentral is "partial 16S ribosomal RNA". It matches the Rfam family "Bacterial small subunit ribosomal RNA", at positions 92 to 334 of the family's 1533-position model. The record is from RNAcentral.